GACGAACGCUGGCGGCGUGCCUAAUACAUGCAAGUAGAACGCUGGAGGAGGAGCUUGCUUCUCUGGAUGAGUUGCGAACGGGUGAGUAACGCGUAGGUAACCUGCCUGGUAGCGGGGGAUAACUAUUGGAAACGAUAGCUAAUACCGCAUAAUAGUAGAUGUUGCAUGACAUUUGCUUAAAAGGUGCAAUUGCAUCACUACCAGAUGGACCUGCGUUGUAUUAGCUAGUUGGUGAGGUAACGGCUCACCAAGGCGACGAUACAUAGCCGACCUGAGAGGGUGAUCGGCCACACUGGGACUGAGACACGGCCCAGACUCCUACGGGAGGCAGCAGUAGGGAAUCUUCGGCAAUGGACGGAAGUCUGACCGAGCAACGCCGCGUGAGUGAAGAAGGUUUUCGGAUCGUAAAGCUCUGUUGUAAGAGAAGAACGAGUGUGAGAGUGGAAAGUUCACACUGUGACGGUAGCUUACCAGAAAGGGACGGCUAACUACGUG
This 495-nucleotide ribosomal RNA is filed under the name uncultured bacterium. Its description in RNAcentral is "partial 16S ribosomal RNA". It matches the Rfam family "Bacterial small subunit ribosomal RNA", at positions 28 to 507 of the family's 1533-position model. The record is from RNAcentral.